UGCGUAGGCGGACUCAUAAGUCAGUGGUGAAAUCUUGCAGCUUAACUGUAAAACUGCCAUUGAUACUGUUAGUCUUGAAUUUAGUUGAGGUAGGCGGAAUGUAUUGUGUAGCGGUGAAAUGCAUAGAUAUAAUACAGAACACCGAUUGCGAAGGCAGCUUACUAAGCUAUAAUUGACGCUGAUGCACGAAAGCGUGGGGAGCGAACAGGAUUAGAUACCCUGGUAGUC
This 228-nucleotide ribosomal RNA is filed under the name uncultured bacterium. Its description in RNAcentral is "partial 16S ribosomal RNA". It matches the Rfam family "Bacterial small subunit ribosomal RNA", at positions 568 to 795 of the family's 1533-position model. The record is from RNAcentral.